UAAAAGGAUUUAUUUUAAAUCCACUUAACUUUUUAAAGAAGUCUCUCU
Oryctes borbonicus is the source of this 48-nucleotide non-coding RNA. NCBI's taxonomy places the organism in Eukaryota, Metazoa, Arthropoda, Insecta, Coleoptera, Scarabaeidae. The record is from Rfam.